Molecule: long non-coding RNA, 571 nt
Organism: Folsomia candida
Lineage: Eukaryota; Metazoa; Arthropoda; Collembola; Entomobryomorpha; Isotomidae
Exons: 3
Source: RefSeq, a predicted model, not a curated record
CUGACGAAGGUUGCUUGCAGUUAAAUAGUUCUCAACUAUGGUUGAGCAAGUUGAAACACGAGAUUGUAGAUAUUUUGUAUUUCGUAAUAACGUUCUAAGCUAAACUCAGAAGCAGGCAUAACUAAAAUCGCAAUUGUCUCGCAACAACUUUGCUCAUUAGGACGAUCCGCAAGCCAAUCACUUGGCACUUAACAUUUCACUCUCAACAAAAUUCCAAUACAGAUCAUUAACUUUUAAGAUGAAUAAAUAUGAGUUAUUACUGAGCAAAAUCAAUUAUCGAGCGGCUCUAUUUCCUCGUAAGUUGAGGUGUGAAGUACUGGAUACAACGUAUUAUACAUAUCUACAGCACCACAAGAAGAUGAACCUACACACACAAAAACUGACAACCUGUCCAUGAAUAUAUUUGGUUCAUUUACUACGAUUUUGAUCUAUCUACGUCGGUACCACAUACGGCUUAUUUGUCAUGCACAUUACAAAAUGUGCGGUUACAAAAUGUGAAGCCAACUGCAACUGUUGUAAGUUUUCCAGACGAAUAGAAACACUAAUAACUCAUUUAUGUCCCAGAACUACA